This 152-nucleotide ribosomal RNA is filed under the name Scenedesmus sp. DB-2018. RNAcentral's name for it is "partial large subunit ribosomal RNA". It matches the Rfam family "Bacterial large subunit ribosomal RNA", at positions 2230 to 2381 of the family's 2925-position model. The record is from RNAcentral. Lineage: Eukaryota; Viridiplantae; Chlorophyta; Chlorophyceae; Sphaeropleales; Scenedesmaceae.
GUUACUCUAGGGAUAACAGGCACAGUUUCAGGUGGGCAGUUUGUCUGGGGCGGUGGCCUCAUAAAAGGUAACGGAGGCGCGCAAAGGUCCCCUCAGUCUGGUCGGAAAUCAGACAUUGAGUGUAAAGGCAAAAGGGGGCUUGACUGCAAGAC